GCCCCCAUCGUCUAGUGGCCUAGGACACCGCCCUUUCAAGGCGGCAACAGGGAUUCGAAUUCCCUUGGGGGUACCA
RNAcentral lists this transfer RNA (76 nucleotides) under Chloroflexota bacterium. Its description in RNAcentral is "tRNA-Glu". It matches the Rfam family "tRNA". Rfam says of the family: Transfer RNA (tRNA) molecules are approximately 80 nucleotides in length. Their secondary structure includes four short double-helical elements and three loops (D, anti-codon, and T loops). RNAcentral also lists the same sequence under 1 other name. Lineage: Bacteria; Bacillati; Chloroflexota. The record is from RNAcentral.